RNAcentral lists this long non-coding RNA (1046 nucleotides) under Neogobius melanostomus (round goby). RNAcentral describes it as "lncRNA (ENSNMLG00000003807.1)". Lineage: Eukaryota; Metazoa; Chordata; Actinopteri; Gobiiformes; Gobiidae. The record is from RNAcentral.
GUCUCUUUUAUUAUUUUUUAUGGCAUCUUAAAACAUAUACUUCCAUUUAGAACUAGGUUUACAGUGCAGAGCUUUUUUUCCCGCUGCCUUUAAACGCCUCACAGCUCCCGGUGACCCUGGUUAAUCAAUGUGACCUGUGUUCCAGGCUCAGUGCUGCCUUCACUGACCUCUCUGUGUGACCUGUGUUCCAGGCUCAGUGCUGCCUUCACUGACCUCUCUGGUGACCUGUGUUCCAGCUCCGUGCUGCCUUCACUGACCUCUCUGUGUGACCUGUGUUCCAGGCUCAGUGCUGCCUUCACUGACCUCUCUGUGUGACCUGUGUUCCAGGCUCAGUGCUGCCUUCAUGACCUCUCUGUGUGACCUGUGUUCCAGGCUCCGUGCUGCCUUCACUGACCUCUCUGUGUGACCUGUGUUCCAGGCUCAGUGCUGCCUUCACUGACCUCUCUGUGUGACCUGUGUUCCAGGCUCCGUGCUGCUUCACUGACUCCUCUCUGUGUGUGUAAUUCCAGGCUCUGCGGCGCUCUGUGGUGGUGGAGAUGGUCGGUAAUGUCAAAGCUCUGCUCAGUGAGACGGAGCUGCUGCUGUCGGGAAACAUGUCUCUGCAGUUGGAGGCGUCUCAUCAGGACCCAGCUCUCCUCGGCGAUGGGCUCGCUCUCCGCUCAGGUGCGGAGGCUGUCGGACGUGUCCUGGCUCUGCCCGUCAUCGACCCGUCAGACUCAGAGGGGGCGCUGUCGGACUUCUCCAAACGCGGCCGCAGCGCCAAGUUCCGCCUCGUGCCCAAGUUCAAGAAGGACAAGAACAACAAGAACCGAGAGACGAGCGCCAGCCUCUCCCAGCCAGUGCACCUGUGGGGGACGGAGGAGGUGGGGGCGUGGCUGGAGGCGCUGUGUCUGUCGGAGUAUAAGGACAUCUUCAGCGGCCACGACGUCAGGGGGGCGGAGCUACUGUCGCUGGAGCGCCGCGACCUCAGGUAAUUAUGACCUCAUUAUGACCUCGAGGUAUUUCCAUUUUUCAUUUACAGAUUUGACGCCGUUUAUGACGAUCAC